AGAGUUUGAUCAUGGCUCAGGACGAACGCUGGCGGCGUGCUUAACACAUGCAAGUCGAGCGGUAAGGCCCCUUCGGGGGUACACGAGCGGCGAACGGGUGAGUAACACGUGAGCAACCUACCCUCAACUUUGGGAUAAGCCUCGGAAACGGGGUCUAAUACCGGAUAUGACUGCGGACUUCAUGGUUUGUGGUUGAAAGUUCUGGCGGUUGGGGAUGGGCUCGCGGCCUAUCAGCUUGUUGGUGGGGUAAUGGCCUACCAAGGCUUCGACGGGUAGCCGGCCUGAGAGGGCGACCGGCCACACUGGGACUGAGACACGGCCCAGACUCCUACGGGAGGCAGCAGUGGGGAAUAUUGCGCAAUGGACGAAAGUCUGACGCAGCAACGCCGCGUGAGGGAUGACGGCCUUCGGGUUGUAAACCUCUUUCAGCAGGGACGAAGCGAGAGUGACGGUACCCGCAGAAGAAGGACCGGCCAACUACGUGCCAGCAGCCGCGGUA
RNAcentral lists this ribosomal RNA (499 nucleotides) under uncultured Actinomycetes bacterium. Its description in RNAcentral is "bacterial SSU rRNA". It matches the Rfam family "Bacterial small subunit ribosomal RNA", at positions 8 to 522 of the family's 1533-position model. Lineage: Bacteria; Bacillati; Actinomycetota; Actinomycetes. The record is from RNAcentral.